GUGGAAACUGCUAUUUCUAUCCAUUCUGGCUUUCUGCUCAUCAAGCUGUGUUUUUGUGUGUGUCCUUCUGUAUAUGUGAAGAACUCUCAAAUUACUGCUAUUUUCCUUCAUUUUGUUUUGUUUUUCCUUCGAGUUUUGAAUAUUUUGCAGCAAUAACAGAAAACAGAAUUGUUCAGAGUCCAACAUUCCUCAUUAGUCAUUCACCAGAACUUGUAAUAAGAUGGAUAAAGAUAAUGGGAAGCAGAGAUCAAUCACUACUCUGUUAUACUGUGUGUGAAGUAAUUUGUGAUACAGAUGCAACCCAGUAAUGCUGAGGCCUGACUCGGAUGUUUUAGAACAUAUACAGAAGUAAUCAUCCAGAGAUGAAAUCCUGUGACAGGAAGGACAGUUUUGGAUUACAACUGAUAAACCCCCACCAAUACAUGGCUCAAAUCAACCAACAAGUAAUGAGUAUUGCUAUGGACCAGUGAGACAGGGAAAGGCCUGCUUGUCUGUCUUAGGUGCUAAAAUUAUAAUAUGAAAAGCUUAUUCUCUAAUUGAAUCUGAAUCAACAAUGAUUAUAAACAUCUGUAUGCAGAAAAUUAAAUUCAGAAAUCUAUUCUUUAUGUUUUUAUACCAGGCUAAAUACAAAAAACAUAUUUAUCUGCGAUUUAUCCAAAUCUCUUCAUAGUAUCUUUACCCUAAAACUCCCACCACUCCCCACACAACUCCUGAUCUUCAUUUUCUUCCAUUUGCAGGAAUUCCACCCUAACCAUCCUCCUGCUCACUCUCCUACCUGCUUCAAUAUGGGGAAGAUUUACAGAUGAGUAUAAAAUGGGAAUAAAGUAGGCAAAGCCAGGGUGGAAUUUAGGAAAGCUUACAAUUUGAUAAGGAGUAGCCCAGAUAAGGCCUGAAUGGUGAAUUGUGGUCUGACUGCGAAGGUUCUGGCUGGAGGGCUGGACUUGAUACCUCUGGAAUCAGAGGCAUGUGUUAGAUAGAUUAUACCAACGAUAGUAUUUAGGGCUAAUUGACUAGAGCAGAAGCUGGAGACUUGAGAGUAGUUAUGAAAAAAAUCAAAAUACAUUAAUACACAUGACAUUAUAGAACUUGGCUUUUGGCAGUGAAAGUGGAAGUGGAUCAGAGAAGAAGGAAUGAAAAAAGAAAAAAGAGAUCCUAUGCUAGAAAAAUGUAACUUUCCCCUUCAAUUGCAUAAAUCUCAAAAGCAGCAUGUUCACCCCAUAGAAUGCUAGGUAUCUGCUUGUGUUAGUCCCAUACACUUAUAUUAUUCUCUCACUGAUAAGGUAGAGGAAGAGGAAAGAACAAAUAAGGUUAAGUGUUAUCAUGACAGUUCAGUGGUCAUCAGCUAAGGACAAUAAAAUUUACUUAAGAAGACUAAUGCUGCAAACAUCGUUCUUGUUAGAAAAACCUCCUUACCUCCACUCUGACCCACAUGAACAGGAAGCAUGGACCAGGCAAUUAAUGAACUAACAUUUUGUCACAACAUCUAGAUAACAUGAACGUUGGAUUUAUCCAAUGUUAGGUGGCUACCGUGAAUCAGAGGCUGCAGGGAGGCACCCAGGCGGCAUUAGAUUGGGGAGACAGCAGAAGUAGCAAACUAGGGCCGUAUGGUUCUGGAACCAUUCCUACCAAAAUUCUUCAGAUAGUAAAUGGAAUGGAGAAACCAAAUGUUAGAAAAAAUUAGAAAGAAAUCAAAAUAGGGAGAUAAUACCAUAAUGAUCCUUUAUGAUUAAAGAAAUAUUACUAUGAGUUGUAUUUACUUUGUGUAAACUGAACUGUGAUGACAUUAUAUAGUACUGUAGAAUAGAAACAAAGUUUAAGGAGCUCUCAAGGUCAUUUGGUCUAACUUCUCACUUUUACAGAAAUGUUGUGUAUAGAAUCUCUAAUAUGUGACUAGCUGCAUCAGCCUCAAUCAUCUCAAUCAUAGCAAUUUUUUCUGCCAAUGAAAACUACAAAGGCAUUUCAUUUGGAGAAUCUGAAUCCUGAAGGUACCUUCAACUACAUCCCUUUUACCUUUACUCAUCAUAGUUCUGUUAACAGGAGGCAACUGUCUAUUCUAUUUCCUUAUGACAAUUCAAAUAUUUGCAGUUUUGUGUGUUUUUCUCCUGUUGUCAUUAAGAUAAAAUCCAAAUUCCAGACUGGCAAAAGCCUCUUAAAACGUGAUACUUAGACUCAAAUACAGUAUCCCAGAAAUCAUCUAAUCAAUAAAAGAAUGAACAUAUAAACUUCCAUGUUUGGGAAAUUUAUAUUUCUUUUAAGACAGCCUAAUGUGCCUUACCCGCUUCAUUAGACACUUCAUUCAUCCAUUCAAUAAUUAUUUACUUGAUUCACACCAUAUUCCAUGCACUGUUUUAUAUGCUGUGAUUAGGUAAAGAACAGAAACAGGUAAGGUCUGUGUUUUUAUAGAGCUUAUGUUAUGGUAGAGUAGAAAAAAACAUAAUGAAGAAAAAAAUGACUAACAUAAAUUCAGAGGAUCAGCGCUACAAAGCUGAAAACAAAAUAAGGGUGGUGUGAUACCCUAGAAUGGGAUAACUAAGUGAUUAAUUUAGAGAGGAGGAUGUGGGAUGCCAUUUUAAGGACAUAAUAUUAGAGUCAGGCUAUUCUUGGAAAUAUAUGGAAAAGAGCAAUCUAGACAGAGUGAAGAGUGACUGCAAAGUUUCUAAAGGGCAGAUGCUUGGCACAUUCAAGGUGCAGAGAAGCUAGUGAAGCUAGAGUGAAGUCAGGAAGGAGGGGGGUGAAAAUAGGUGAAACUGGAGAUGGAGUAUUUGAUCUUAUUUGCAACCAGAAACCACCGGAGGGUAGUAAAGAGGAGUGUGGGAUGUUCUGACCUUCAAUGUGAUCCUUGAUGCAACUGCAGUUGACUCUUGAUCAAUGAGGGACUGGGGCACUGACCGCCUGGGGCAAUGUUGAAAAUCCACAUAACACUUUUGACUCCUGGCUAAUUUAACUACCAAUAUCCUACUGUUGACCAAAAGCCUUAUCAAUAAUAAAUAGUCAACACAUACUUUGUAUAUUGUAUGUAUUAUAUACUGUAUUCUUGCAAUAAAGUAAGUUAGAGAAAAGAAAAUGUUAAGAAAAUCCUAAGGAAGAGAAAUAUAUUUACUAUUCAUUAAGUGGAAGUGGAUCAUCACAAGGUCUUCAGCUUCUUCAUCUUUACAUUGAGUAGGCUGAGGAGGAGGAGGAAGAGGAGGGACCGGUCUUGCUGUCUCAGGGAUGGCAGAGGUGGAAGAGGUGGAGGAGGUGGAAGGGGAGCAGGAGAUGCAGGCACACCCAGCGUAACUUUUAUUGAAAAACAUCCAUGUGUGAGUGGGCCCAUGCAGUUCAAACCGUUUUCGUUCAAGGGUCAACUGCAUUUGUUUUCUAUUGAGUCUACUCAUUAUAUACCCUGCUUUAUUUCCUCCCUUGGACUCAUCAAUUAAAUAUUAUUAUGUAACUCUCUUCUAAAUUACCUUAUUAGUUUUACAUUAUUUAUCUUCUGUAUUACAUUAGGCUUUCUUGACUUACUAAUAUCUAAUUUUAAUUAGUGUUUUUUGUUUGUUUUGUUUUUUUUUUUUGACAGUCUCACUUUGUCGCCCAGGCUAAAGCGCAGUGGUGUAAUCUCCGCUCACUGCAAUGUCUGCCUCCCAGGUUCAAGCAAUUCUACUGCCUCAGCCUCCUCAGUAGCUGGGAUUACAGGCAAAGGCCACUGUGUCCAGCUAAUUUAUGUAUUUUUAGUAGAGACGAGGUUUCACCAUGUUGAUCAGGCCGGUCUCAAACUCCUGACCUCAGGUGAUCCACCCACCUCAGCCUCCCAAAGUGCUGGAAUUACAGGGGUCUCUAAUUACACCUAUGUUAGACUGUUUUGUUUUUUGUUGUUGUUGUUGUUUUCAGUUUUUUGUUUUUUUGAGAUGGAGUCUCACUUUGUUUCCCAGGCUGGAGUGCAGCUGUGCGAUCACAGCUCACUACAGCCUCCACCUCCCAGGUUCAAGCACUUCUCCUUCCUCAGCCUCCCGUGUAGCUGAGAUUACAGGCACACGUCACCACAUCCAGCUAAUUUCUGUUUUUGUGGAGACAGGGUUUCACCUUGUUGGCCAGGCUAGUCUCAAACUUCUGACCUGAGAUGAUCCGCCUGCCUUGGCCUCCUAAAAUGCUGGGAUUACGGGCACAAGCCACCACGCCCAGCUUGUUAGACUGUUUUUAAAGUCCAUAUCUCUCUUAUUCUCUUUUCUGUAUUUUUCCAUUCCCUUUUCUCUUUUUGUUUCAAUCUAAAUAUUUUCUACUGGCCUAUUUUCUAUUCAGAAAUCAGAUUCACAAAUCCUCUCUCUAGCUGUGUUGAAUCUCUUAUUCUAUUGUUUUCUUAAUUUCAAUUGUUUUUUUUCAUUUCUAAAACUGUUCUUUAUUGUUUCUAGUUUUUUGGAAAAUUUCCCAAUCUUUUCUUCUAACUUUUGAACAUAUCAAUCACAAUGAUUUUAAAAUCUGUUUUUGAUAAUUCCUAUAUCCAUCCCGUAGGGGCUGUCUUUUUUCUUUCAUUUAAUUAUUAUUUUUUUUCCUGUCUCUUUGUGUGUCUGCUAAUUCUUAAUUAAAUGCUAGAAAUUGUAUGAAGAAUUGUGUAUGCUCUGGCUUAUAAUUUUUCUUCAGAGAGGGGUUUGUUAGCUGAUGGUGGAUAGGUAAAGUAGUAGCCUAUCAGCGAAAUCUGUUAAAGAUGAAGCUCAUUUGAGCCUAGGUUUUCGUUUUUGUAAGGCCUAUUCUCUAUUUCUGGUUUGCCUUUUUGUGUGUGUGUGAAAUACAGCCUUUUUGGAGUCUCAAAUGAAAUGCUGGGCCAUUUCUUUGUAUUCUACCUACUUGCUGAUUCUUGCUAAUUUAUUAGAAGUUUUAAAAACUUUUAUACAUUAAUAGUUUUGUUGCCAAUGUUUACACUGCAUUUUCCUAUCACUGCCUGAUUGUACUGGAUUUCACCAGUAUGAUGAUUGCAAUAUGUUUUUGGUGGAUGCUCUAUAUGAGACUAAGAAAUCUCCCUUCUAUUAUUAGUUUUUAA
Long non-coding RNA from Symphalangus syndactylus (siamang), 5011 nucleotides. RefSeq lists it as uncharacterized. The record is from RefSeq and is a predicted model, not a curated record. Lineage: Eukaryota; Metazoa; Chordata; Mammalia; Primates; Hylobatidae.